Molecule: non-coding RNA, 1742 nt
Organism: Taeniopygia guttata (zebra finch)
Lineage: Eukaryota; Metazoa; Chordata; Aves; Passeriformes; Estrildidae
Source: RefSeq, a predicted model, not a curated record
AUCAGAGUUUCCACAGGAUUUAAUCUCCACUGAAUUUGUGUGGCAGAUCUGGGAUAACAGUUGAAGAGAAACCUCUCCCUCCUCCUCUGCCAGGCAGAAGGGCAGCUAUUUUUAAUAAGCUAUGUCACUGAUAAAGCUAAGCUGGUACCUGUAUGUCUGUAUCUUUAUUAGAGAACAUUUUUCUUUUAUCCUUAAUUUUCAUAGUAUGGUUGCAGAUUUGUAUUCACACUGAGCGAGCAUUAAAUUUACAACUUUCAUCACCACAGAAUCAUUACAGCUGGAAAAGACCUUCAGCCAUGGCAGAUCAUUAUAUGGAGGAAAAAAAAAAAAAAACCAAAAAAACCCAGUUACUGAAAAUGUUGCUCCCAGAUUAUGCUCCUCAUUGUCAUUUACUUAUUCCAACACUUGUCUGUUUUGAAGAGUCUUGAGAGUCUGUAGUGGUGCUUUGAAAAGAAAAAUCAUCAGAGUAAGAUUACAGAAGUUCAUUUCAUUAUGCCUGUUGCAUGACAAUUUGCUUUUAGAGCAUAUGUCUAUAACAAUGUAAUCUCAUAAUUUGAAAAAGGCAGUAGGAAUUGUGCUUUCAACUAUCUAGUGUGAUGAAAUCAUCACAGGAAAAACUAUGAAUUCCUGAGUCACCAUUUUAAAAAUCAGGAAUGGUUUUAUUUUUAUUAUCUUACACAAAUUUGUUUGUUGCCAAGAUCUGUAGGGAUGUGUGGGCACAAAGGCUGGGAAACAAAACUCUGGUUCAAGCAAUCCUUGUUUAGAGACAGUGGAGAUCAUUGUGUUGGAUAAUUUGGGUAUUCCUACUGAAUGUGAUCCUGCACCAACAGGAAUAGAGGAAGUAUCAGGGAGCAUAAGACACUUUUACAGAGCCAUUAUCACAGAAUCAGGGAAUCACUGAAGCUGGAAGAGACAUCCAUGAUCAUGAAGUCCAACCUCAGGCUCUCUGUUUGUGUGUAGAGUUAACUCCCCCUUUUCACCAAUCAGUUUUCAGAAUGAAGAAAAUAUUCAUCCUGGAAAAUGAUGUGUGCAGUGCUCCUAGAAAUAAGCCUGGUGCCCAGUUUCCACCCAGAGCUCAGGAAUUUUUCUUCCUGUGCAGUCAGAAGCCCCUAAAGGAACUGCCCCCAGAUCACUUACUCUGAGACGUUUGUGUGGAUAUAAACUUCUUUAUCAAGGUGUCGGUAGUCUGUGUGUAAAGGCUGAGAGCAUAUUUGAGGGACUGCAGGUCUGGACUCUUCUCCAGGAAAUUCUUUUUUAGCCCACUUCCUCCAGCAUGGAAGUAUUGCUAAAAUGAAAAACAAAUAUGGUUGUUCACAGAGGAAAUAUAAAUGCUUCAGCUAUAGACAUACAAAUUUAAGUAAAAUUCUUAAAUGAAUGUUUGGAAGUAGCAACAGGCAUGUCUAGAUUUAUAAUAGCAUUUCAGACUACAGCCAUAAUCUCUAGUACAAAGCUUCUUUCCAAGGGUAAAAAAUAAUCGGGGAAGAAAACAAUAUACAAAAUUUUGAUUUUGGUCUUCAUGAUCUAAAGUAUUAAUUUGCCAAUUGGAAAAUAUUUGAAGCAUUCUUUUAGGUUGCAGAGAGUGGAAUGAGUUUAGAAAAGGAUAAAACAUUUCAGAGAGAAUACUCCAGAGUGUGAAGUUUUGGAGUAGCAGUGUGAGAAGAGGACUUUUGGUUCUAGUGGCACAGCUAGAUUUGGAAAAACAAAUAUGCUUAUGACUUUGAUGCCAUGGUGACUAUGUGAAA